This 404-nucleotide ribosomal RNA is filed under the name uncultured Butyricicoccus sp. RNAcentral describes it as "bacterial SSU rRNA". It matches the Rfam family "Bacterial small subunit ribosomal RNA", at positions 356 to 774 of the family's 1533-position model. Lineage: Bacteria; Bacillati; Bacillota; Clostridia; Eubacteriales; Butyricicoccaceae. The record is from RNAcentral.
GGGGAAUAUUGCGCAAUGGGGGAAACCCUGACGCAGCAACGCCGCGUGAUUGAAGAAGGCCUUCGGGUUGUAAAGAUCUUUAAUUCGGGACGAAAAAAAUGACGGUACCGAAAGAAUAAGCUCCGGCUAACUACGUGCCAGCAGCCGCGGUAAUACGUAGGGAGCAAGCGUUAUCCGGAUUUACUGGGUGUAAAGGGCGCGCAGGCGGGCUUGCAAGUUGGGAGUGAAAUCCCGGGGCUCAACCCCGGAACUGCUUUCAAAACUGUGAGUCUUGAGUGAUGGAGAGGCAGGCGGAAUUCCCAGUGUAGCGGUGAAAUGCGUAGAUAUUGGGAGGAACACCAGUGGCGAAGGCGGCCUGCUGGACAUUAACUGACGCUGAGGCGCGAAAGCGUGGGGAGCAAACA